GCAUAUCAAUAAGCGGAGGAAAAGAAACUAACAAGGAUUCCCCUAGUAACUGCGAGUGAAGCGGGAAAAGCUCAAAUUUAAAAUCUGGCAGUCUUUGGCUGUCCGAGUUGUAAUCUGGAGAAGCGUCUUCCGCGCUGGACCGUGUACAAGUCUCCUGGAACGGAGCGUCAUAGAGGGUGAGAAUCCCGUCUUUGACACGGACUACCAGUGCUCUGUGAUGCGCUCUCAAAGAGUCGAGUUGUUUGGGAAUGCAGCUCAAAAUGGGUGGUAAACUCCAUCUAAAGCUAAAUAUUGGCGAGAGACCGAUAGCGAACAAGUACCGUGAGGGAAAGAUGAAAAGCACUUUGGAAAGAGAGUUAAACAGUACGUGAAAUUGCUGAAAGGGAAACGCUUGAAGUCAGUCGCGUUUGCUAGGACUCAGCCUGGUUUCGGCCUGGUGCACUUCCUAGUAAACGGGCCAGCAUCACUUUUGGCUGCGGGAAAAAGGUUAGAGGAAUGUGGCACCCUCGGGUGUGUUAUAGCCUCUAGCUGUAUACCGUGGCUGGGAGUGAGGAACUCAGCACGCCUCUGGCGGGGCUUCGGCCACCUUCGUGCUUAGGAUGCUGGCGUAAUGGCUUUAAACGACCCGUCUUGAAACACGGACC
RNAcentral lists this ribosomal RNA (644 nucleotides) under Phanerodontia chrysosporium. RNAcentral describes it as "partial large subunit rRNA". It matches the Rfam family "Eukaryotic large subunit ribosomal RNA", at positions 38 to 667 of the family's 3401-position model. The record is from RNAcentral. Lineage: Eukaryota; Fungi; Basidiomycota; Agaricomycetes; Polyporales; Phanerochaetaceae.